Molecule: ribosomal RNA, 497 nt
Filed under: uncultured bacterium
Lineage: Bacteria
Description: partial 16S ribosomal RNA
Rfam family: Bacterial small subunit ribosomal RNA
Source: RNAcentral
GAUGAACGCUGGCGGCGUGCCUAAUACAUGCAAGUCGAGCGCACGGACGGGAAGCUUGUGCUCUUGAGGUUAGCGGCGGACGGGUGAGUAACGCGUGGAUAACCUACCUAUUAGACUGGGACAACAUCGGGAAACCAGUGCUAAUACCGCAUAAUAUUUUGAACCGCAUGGUUCAAGAGUGAAAGACGCUCUUGCCGUACCUAAUAGAUGGUUCCGGGUUGCAUAAGCGGGUUGGUAAGGUAACGCCCUACCAAGGCAACGUAGCAUGGCCGACCGGAGAGGUGGAUCGGCCACACGGGAACGGGAAAACGGUCCAGACUCCUAGGGGAGGAAGCGUUGGGGAAUUUUGGGCAAGGGGGGAAAGCUGGACGGAGCAAGACCGCGGGGGUGAUGAAGGUCUUCGGUUGGUAAAACCCUUUUGUUGGGAAAGAAGAUAGGGAGAGUGAAAUGCGCAUAUCGUGACGGUACCUAAACAGAAAGCAACGGCUAACUACGUG